This 459-nucleotide ribosomal RNA is filed under the name uncultured bacterium. RNAcentral's name for it is "partial 16S ribosomal RNA". It matches the Rfam family "Bacterial small subunit ribosomal RNA", at positions 338 to 795 of the family's 1533-position model. The record is from RNAcentral.
CCUACGGGUGGCAGCAGUGAGGAAUAUUGGUCAAUGGCCGGAAGGCUGAACCAGCCAAGCCGCGUGAAGGACGAAGGUGCCAAGCAUUGUAAACUUCUUUAGUCAAGGGACAAAAUCAGGCUCGAGAGCCUGACCGAGGGUACUUGAAGAAAAAGCAUCGGCUAACUCCGUGCCAGCAGCCGCGGUAAUACGGAGGAUGCGAGCGUUAUCCGGAUUUAUUGGGUUUAAAGGGUGCGUAGGCGGACUGUUAAGUCAGCGGUAAAAGCCCGGGGCUCAACCCCGGCGAGCCGUUGAAACUGGGGAUCUAGAGUGUGCGAGAGGUAUGCGGAAUGCGUGGUGUAGCGGUGAAAUGCAUAGAUAUCACGCAGAACCCCGAUUGCGAAGGCAGCAUACCGGUGCACAACUGACGCUCAGGCACGAAAGCGUGGGUAUCGAACAGGAUUAGAUACCCGUGUAGUC